This 114-nucleotide unclassified non-coding RNA is filed under the name uncultured fungus. RNAcentral describes it as "sequence contains ITS1". Lineage: Eukaryota; Fungi. The record is from RNAcentral.
GUUUUAUGUUAUAGUUAUACAUUCAAAACACAUGUAAUCGUUCACGGUGUGUUGUUCACCUUCUUGCGAAGGCUCACUUCUUUAAUGAUCCUUCCGCAGGUUCACCUACGGAAA